AACGAACGCUGGCGGCAUGCCUAAUACAUGCAAGUCGAACGAGAUCUUCGGAUCUAGUGGCGCACGGGUGCGUAACGCGUCGAAAUCUGCCCUUGGGUUCGGAAUACCCUUUAGAAAUGACUUGUAAUACCGGAUGAUGACGUAAGUCCAAAGAUUUAUCGCCCAGGGAUGAGCCCGCGUAGGAUUAGAUAGUGGGUGAGGUAAAGGCUCACCAAGGCUACGAUCCUUAGCUGGUCUGAGAGGAUGAUCAGCCACACUGGGACUGAGACACGGCAAAGACUCCUACGGGAGGCAGCAGUAGGCACCAUUGGACAUGGGGGUAAACCCUGAUCCAACAAUGCCGCGUGAACGAUGAACGGCGGAGGGUUGUAAAGCUCUUUUACCCGGGAUGAUAAUGAAAGGCAAGGGAGAAGAAGAAACGGCUAACUCCGUGCCAGCAGAAGCAGUAA
Molecule: ribosomal RNA, 449 nt
Filed under: uncultured bacterium
Lineage: Bacteria
Description: partial 16S ribosomal RNA
Rfam family: Bacterial small subunit ribosomal RNA
Source: RNAcentral